UGGGGAAUAUUGGACAAUGGGGGCAACCCUGAUCCAGCGACGCCGCGUGUGUGAAGAAGGCCUGCGGGUUGUAAAGCACUUUUAGUGGGGAAGAAAAGCACAUCACUAACACUGGUGUGUCUUGACCUAACCCAAAGAAAAAGCACCGGCUAACUCUGUGCCAGCAGCCGCGGUAAUACAGAGGGUGCGAGCGUUAAUCGGAAUUACUGGGCGUAAAGCGUGCGUAGACGGCUAUCUAAGUCGGGUGUGAAAGCCCCGGGCUCAACCUGGGAAUUGCAUUCGAGACUGAAGAGCUAGGGUACGGUAGAGGGAAGCGGAAUUUCCGGUGUAGCGGUGAAAUGCGUAGAUAUCGGAAGGAACAUCAGUGGCGAAGGCGGCUUCCUGGACCAGUACCGACGUUCAGGCACGAAAGCGUGGGGAGCAAACAGG
Molecule: ribosomal RNA, 429 nt
Filed under: bacterium
Lineage: Bacteria
Description: partial 16S ribosomal RNA
Rfam family: Bacterial small subunit ribosomal RNA
Source: RNAcentral